UACGUAGGGUGCAAGCGUUAAUCGGAAUUACUGGGCGUAAAGCGUGCGCAGGCGGUUCUAUAAGACAGAUGUGAAAUCCCCGGGCUCAACCUGGGAACUGCAUUUGUGACUGUAGAGCUGGAGUACGGUAGAGGGGGAUGGAAUUCCGCGUGUAGCAGUGAAAUGCGUAGAUAUGCGGAGGAACACCGAUGGCGAAGGCAAUCCCCUGGACCUGUACUGACGCUGAGGAGCGAAAGCGUGGGGAGCGAACAGG
Molecule: ribosomal RNA, 253 nt
Filed under: uncultured bacterium
Lineage: Bacteria
Description: partial 16S ribosomal RNA
Rfam family: Bacterial small subunit ribosomal RNA
Source: RNAcentral